CGCCCCCAACCCUCAUCGCGGCUCGCCGCCGCAGGCCCUUCGGCCAAUCGGCCGCGCGCCGCGGAAGCCAACGCAGCAAGAAGCGGCGGCGGUGGUAGUUGUCAUGGCAGAGGAAGGUUAUGAAGAAGAGGAACAGGCGGAGAAUGAUGAUUAUUGCAAAGGGAUUUAGGGGUUAACGAGCCGGACCGGAGGAAGCAACCCUCGUACAGGUGGAGGAACCACAUGCGCGCGCCAUCCAGCCCAAAUUGGUCGUCGCCGACAUCCAAGAGAUUGAGAAGAAGGUGAAGGGCUGACGGCCAUGAUCAGACAUGCCGGUACUUUUGCGAAGGGGGUGGAGCUGUUCUUCAAGAGCAGGCCCUAGCUGAUUAACUAUGUUGAGGUGAAUUGUAGAUGUUAUCAAGCCGUUGUUGAUUGAUCUGACAGUGCUGUCAGGUCUCGAUGAUGGACAGCUGGAUAUUGAUGGAAAUUAUGCCGACGGCAGGUGCUGACGCAAGGCUGGUUAGAUCACAAGCUACAGUUUCGUUUUCUAUUGUUUAAUGCAUAAGUUAUUUCCCCAGCAUAUGUGUUAGUUUAAAUUGUGCUAGAACUUUUGUAGAAUAACGAGCAUGUUAUUAUUCCCGGCUUUUGUUAAAUCAUGUACUCUCUUGAUUUUUGAUA
Long non-coding RNA from Hordeum vulgare subsp. vulgare (domesticated barley), 657 nucleotides. RefSeq lists it as uncharacterized. The transcript has 3 exons. Lineage: Eukaryota; Viridiplantae; Streptophyta; Magnoliopsida; Poales; Poaceae. The record is from RefSeq and is a predicted model, not a curated record.